Molecule: non-coding RNA, 1337 nt
Organism: Vicugna pacos (alpaca)
Lineage: Eukaryota; Metazoa; Chordata; Mammalia; Artiodactyla; Camelidae
Source: RefSeq, a predicted model, not a curated record
GCGAGGAGACGCGCGAGGAGACGCGCGAGGAGACGCGCGAGGAGACGCGCGAGGAGACGCGCGAGGAGACGCGCGAGGAGACGCGCGAGGAGACGCGCGAGGAGACGCGGCUAGGGGGCUGCCAGAACACAAAGGGAAAACAGCGACUUCUGGAUUGUCGCGUCCCGCAAGAGUUUGGCCCCUGCCCAAGACCCAGAAAGUUACUUCCCAGCCCAGAAUCUCCGCGGUGAGGACACGAAUCUGCAUUUCACCAGAAGGAAGGAUUUACGACUUGCAGCAAGGAGAACAUUGGGGAUCUUUCUCAAAGCGACAUCUCCCUGAACACCAAAAAUGGGCGUACAGCCACUGGGUAAAUUGAAGGAAGUGUCUUGCCAAGACAUUUGUUUACCUGUUCAGAACAUCACAUCACUGUUGUCCGGAAUGGCUAAGGUGUCCAAGAUGCCUGCAGACCAGCACACGUUCCUGCAUCUGCUGAGUGGUGCCCAUGUCCCCCGUUACACUCACAGAGGAGCCAUCAUCCUACUCCUUCAUUCUGCCUCCUGGGUCUGCCUUUCUUAGUGCUCUUUACCAAGAUCUGAGCAAGCCUCAGCUUGCCCAUGCUCUCCGCCUCCCCCCCUCCCUGACACAGGACCCGCGCAGGGCUGCUUUAGAAGAUGCUCCGUGAGCACAGACAAGCCUGUGACCAGCUUUGCAGAUGGUAUUAAGAAACAGGCACCUGUGUCUCCCUGUUGAAAAGCCAGGCCCUUCUGGAACUACGUUGCUGCUAAUGUAACCAAGAAGCUAGAGGCAGCGGGACCCAAUCCUUCACCCAGCGCACCAGCCAAGGGCCUCUCUCGCAUUCUAGCUGUGUGCUCAAAAAGAGAAACACAGAUCACCAAUAAAGGCAAGAAAAAUGUCCAACCACUCUUAAGUUUUGCCUUUCAAAUGAUCACAUCUUUAAAAAAAAAUCAUUAUACUCAGUUUUGUAAAGCUCCAAUAAGAGAUAUUCAUAUAUAUAAUUUGGUGGAGGGUGGAGGGAGUGAAAGAUAUUUUUGUCUAUUUAUGUGAUGGAAUAAUGUAUGCCCAUUAAAAUUAAAAUUGUGGAAGAAUAUUUACUGUCAUAGAGAAAUACUUGUUAUAUUAAAAAGUGAAAAAGCAAUUACAAAAGAGUAUCUCUAGCAUAUUCUACUAUUUGUUGAAAAUAUAUAGAUGGAUUAUACAUAUUCAUACCACAGUUUGAACAUAGGAGAUUGCAGGUGCUUUUUCAAUUUUGGAAUUGUGGUUUUUGUAUUUUCCAAAUUUGCCACAAUGACUAUAGUAUGGCUUUUAAUUUCAGAUUAAAAGAAAAUAAAACAACA